Molecule: non-coding RNA, 148 nt
Organism: Gorilla gorilla gorilla (western lowland gorilla)
Lineage: Eukaryota; Metazoa; Chordata; Mammalia; Primates; Hominidae
Rfam family: Metazoan signal recognition particle RNA
About the family: The signal recognition particle (SRP) is a universally conserved ribonucleoprotein. It is involved in the co-translational targeting of proteins to membranes. The eukaryotic SRP consists of a 300-nucleotide 7S RNA and six proteins: SRPs 72, 68, 54, 19, 14, and 9.
Source: Rfam
GCCAGGCGUGGUGGCGCAUGCCUGUGGUCCCAGCUACUCAGGAGGCUGAGAUGGAAGGAUUGCUUGAGCCUGGGAAGUUGCGGCUGCAGUGAGCUGUGAUUGUGCCACUGCACUCCAGCCUGGGCAACAGAGUAAGACCCUGUCUCAA